Molecule: ribosomal RNA, 742 nt
Filed under: uncultured marine bacterium
Lineage: Bacteria
Description: bacterial SSU rRNA
Rfam family: Bacterial small subunit ribosomal RNA
Source: RNAcentral
CUGGCGGCAGGCCUAACACAUGCAAGUCGAGCGCUCACUUCGGUGGGAGCGGCGGACGGGUUAGUAACGCGUGGGAAUAUGCCCGGUACUAAGGAAUAGCCUUUGGAAACGAAGAGUAAUACCUUAUACGCCCUUCGGGGGAAAGAUUUAUCGGUAUCGGAUUAGCCCGCGUAAGAUUGGAUAGUUGGUGGGGUAAUGGCCUACCAAGUCUACGAUCUUUAGCUGGUUUUAGAGGAUGAUCAGCAACACUGGGACUGAGACACGGCCCAGACUCCUACGGGAGGCAGCAGUGGGGAAUCUUAGACAAUGGGCGCAAGCCUGAUCUAGCCAUGCCGCGUGAGUGAAGAAGGCCUUAGGGUCGUAAAACUCUUUCGCCAGAGAUGAUAAUGACAGUAUCUGGUAAAGAAACCCCGGCUAACUCCGUGCCAGCAGCCGCGGUAAUACGGAGGGGGUUAGCGUUGUUCGGAAUUACUGGGCGUAAAGCGCACGUAGGCGGACUGGAAAGUUGGGGGUGAAAUCCCGGGGCUCAACCUCGGAACUGCCUCCAAAACUAUCAGUCUAGAGUUCGAGAGAGGUGAGUGGAAUUCCAAGUGUAGAGGUGAAAUUCGUAGAUAUUUGGAGGAACACCAGUGGCGAAGGCGGCUCACUGGCUCGAUACUGACGCUGAGGUGCGAAAGUGUGGGGAGCAAACAGGAUUAGAUACCCUGGUAGUCCACACCGUAAACGAUGAAUGCCAGUCGUC